Molecule: ribosomal RNA, 762 nt
Filed under: uncultured bacterium
Lineage: Bacteria
Description: bacterial SSU rRNA
Rfam family: Bacterial small subunit ribosomal RNA
Source: RNAcentral
AGAGUUUGAUCAUGGCUCAGGAUGAACGCUGACAGAAUGCUUAACACAUGCAAGUCUACUUGAUCCUUCGGGUGAUGGUGGCGGACGGGUGAGUAACGCGUAAAGAACUUGCCCUGCAGUCUGGGACAACAUUUGGAAACGAAUGCUAAUACCGGAUAUUAUGUGAGUUUCGCAUGAAAUUCAUAUGAAAGCUAUAUGCGCUGCAGGAGAGCUUUGCGUCCUAUUAGCUAGUUGGUGAGGUAACGGCUCACCAAGGCCAUGAUAGGUAGCCGGCCUGAGAGGGUGAACGGCCACAAGGGGACUGAGACACGGCCCUUACUCCUACGGGAGGCAGCAGUGGGGAAUAUUGGACAAUGGACCAUAAGUCUGAUCCAGCAAUUCUGUGUGCACGAUGAAGUUUUUCGGAAUGUAAAGUGCUUUCAGUUGGGAAGAAGAAAGUGACGGUACCAACAGAAGAAGCGACGGCUAAAUACGUGCCAGCAGCCGCGGUAAUACGUAUGUCGCAAGCGUUAUCCGGAUUUAUUGGGCGUAAAGCGCGUCUAGGCGGAAAAGUAAGUCUGAUGUGAAAAUGCGGGGCUCAACUCCGUAUUGCGUUGGAAACUGCUUUUCUAGAGUACUGGAGAGGUGGGCGGAACUACAAGUGUAGAGGUGAAAUUCGUAGAUAUUUGUAGGAAUGCCGAUGGAGAAGUCAGCUCACUGGACAGAUACUGACGCUGAAGCGCGAAAGCGUGGGGAGCAAACAGGAUUAGAUACCCUGGUAGU